GAUGAACGCUGGCGGCGUGCCUAACACAUGCAAGUCGCACGAGAAAUCUCCUGCUUGCAGGAGAGAGUAAAGUGGCGCACGGGUGAGUAACACGUGGGUAAUCUACCUCUGAAUCGGGGAUAACGUUCCGAAAGGAGUGCUAAUACCGGAUAAUAUCUGACGCACCUCGGUGUGUCGGAUCAAAGGGGGCCUCUACAUGUAAGCUUCUGUUUGGAGAUGAGCCCGCGUGCCAUUAGCUAGUUGGCGGGGUAACGGCCCACCAAGGCGACGAUGGCUAGCUGGUCUGAGAGGAUGGCCAGCCACACUGGAACUGAGACACGGUCCAGACUCCUACGGGAGGCAG
This 343-nucleotide ribosomal RNA is filed under the name uncultured Pseudomonadota bacterium. Its description in RNAcentral is "bacterial SSU rRNA". It matches the Rfam family "Bacterial small subunit ribosomal RNA", at positions 28 to 351 of the family's 1533-position model. Lineage: Bacteria; Pseudomonadati; Pseudomonadota. The record is from RNAcentral.